GUUUGAUCCUGGCUCAGGAUGAACGCCCUUGGUGUGCCUAAUACAUGCAAGUCGUACGCACUGGCCCAACUGAUUGAUGGUGCUUGCACCUGAUUGACGAUGGAUCACCAGUGAGUGGCGGACGGGUGAGUAACACGUAGGUAACCUGCCUCGGAGCGGGGGAUAACAUUUGGAAACAGAUGCUAAUACCGCAUAACAACAAAAGCCACAUGGCUUUUGUUUGAAAGAUGGCUUUGGCUAUCACUCUGGGAUGGACCUGCGGUGCAUUAGCUAGUUGGUAAGGUAACGGCUUACCAAGGCAAUGAUGCAUAGCCGAGUUGAGAGACUGAUCGGCCACAAUGGAACUGAGACACGGUCCAUACUCCUACGGGAGGCAGCAGUAGGGAAUCUUCCACAAUGGGCGCAAGCCUGAUGGAGCAACACCGCGUGAGUGAAGAAGGGUUUCGGCUCGUAAAGCUCUGUUGUUGGAGAAGAACGUGCGUGAGAGUAACUGUUCACGCAGUGACGGUAUCCAACCAGAAAGUCACGGCUAACUACGUGCCAGCAGCCGCGGUAAUACGUAGGUGGCAAGCGUUAUCCGGAUUUAUUGGGCGUAAAGCGAGCGCAGGCGGUUGCUUAGGUCUGAUGUGAAAGCCUUCGGCUUAACUGAAGAAGUGCAUCGGAAACCGGGCGACUUGAGUGCAGAAGAGGACAGUGGAACUCCAUGUGUAGCGGUGGAAUGCGUAGAUAUAUGGAAGAACACCAGUGGCGAAGGCGGCUGUCUGGUCUGCAACUGACGCUGAGGCUCGAAAGCAUGGGUAGCGAACAGGAUUAGAUACCCUGGUAGUCCAUGCCGUAAACGAUGAGUGCUAGGUGUUGGAGGGUUUCCGCCCUUCAGUGCCGGAGCUAACGCAUUAAGCACUCCGCCUGGGGAGUACGACCGCAAGGUUGAAACUCAAAGGAAUUGACGGGGGCCCGCACAAGCGGUGGAGCAUGUGGUUUAAUUCGAAGCUACGCGAAGAACCUUACCAGGUCUUGACAUCUUGCGCUAACCUUAGAGAUAAGGCGUUCCCUUCGGGGACGCAAUGACAGGUGGUGCAUGGUCGUUGUCAGCUCGUGUCGUGAGAUGUUGGGUUAAGUCCCGCAACGAGCGCAACCCUUGUUACUAGUUGCCAGCAUUAAGUUGGGCACUCUAGUGAGACUGCCGGUGACAAACCGGAGGAAGGUGGGGACGACGUCAGAUCAUCAUGCCCCUUAUGACCUGGGCUACACACGUGCUACAAUGGACGGUACAACGAGUCGCAAGCUCGCGAGAGUAAGCUAAUCUCUUAAAGCCGUUCUCAGUUCGGACUGUAGGCUGCAACUCGCCUACACGAAGUCGGAAUCGCUAGUAAUCGCGGAUCAGCAUGCCGCGGUGAAUACGUUCCCGGGCCUUGCACACACCGCCCGUCA
This 1431-nucleotide ribosomal RNA is filed under the name uncultured bacterium. RNAcentral describes it as "bacterial SSU rRNA". It matches the Rfam family "Bacterial small subunit ribosomal RNA". The record is from RNAcentral.